GCCAAUCAAUUGAUGAGGAGAGGUAUUAACUUGGAGAGGACUUUUUUGUUGAAUUUCUACUUGUGAGCACUUCUCCCAUUGUUGUUGUGUUCUCUCUUUACUUUUCUUUUUUUUUUCUUCAUCUUUUUUUCUUGAAUCAUAUUCUUCUAUAAGACUCUCCUCAUGUGCUUUAACCUCUACAAAGUUUUUUCCCUUGUGACCGAAAAAG
RNAcentral lists this long non-coding RNA (208 nucleotides) under Glycine max (soybean). Its description in RNAcentral is "long non-coding RNA (GMAX_LNC004190)". The record is from RNAcentral. Lineage: Eukaryota; Viridiplantae; Streptophyta; Magnoliopsida; Fabales; Fabaceae.